GUAAGAGCUCGUAGGCGGUUUGUCGCGUCUGCUGUGAAAGCCCGGGGCUCAACCCCGGGUCUGCAGUGGGUACGGGCAGACUAGAGUGCAGUAGGGGAGACUGGAAUUCCUGGUGUAGCGGUGAAAUGCGCAGAUAUCAGGAGGAACACCGAUGGCGAAGGCAGGUCUCUGGGCUGUUACUGACGCUGAGGAGCGAAAGCAUGGGGAGCGAACAGGAUUAGAUACCCUGGUAGUCCAUGCCGUAAACGUUGGGCACUAGGUGUGGGGGACAUUCCACGUUCUCCGCGCCGUAGCUAACGCAUUAAGUGCCCCGCCUGGGGAGUACGGCCGCAAGGCUAAAACUCAAAGGAAUUGACGGGGGCCCGCACAAGCGGCGGAGCAUGCGGAUUAAUUCGAUGCAACGCGAAGAACCUUACCAAGGCUUGACAUUCACCGGACCGCCCCAGAGAUGGGGUCUCCCUUCGGGGUCGGUGGACAGGUGGUGCAUGGUUGUCGUCAGCUCGUGUCGUGAGAUGUUGGGUUAAGUCCCGCAACGAGCGCAACCCUCGUUCUAUGUUGCCAGCACGUGAUGGUGGGGACUCAUAGGAGACUGCCGGGGUCAACUCGGAGGAAGGUGGGGAUGACGUCAAAUCAUCAUGCCCCUUAUGUCUUGGGCUUCACGCAUGCUACAAUGGCCGGUACAAAGGGUUGCGAUACUGUGAGGUGGAGCUAAUCCCAAAAAGCCGGUCUCAGUUCGGAUUGAGGUCUGCAACUCGACCUCAUGAAGUCGGAGUCGCUAGUAAUCGCAGAUCAGCAACGCUGCGGUGAAUACGUUCCCGGGCCUUGUACACACCGCCCGUCAAGUCACGAAAGUUGGUAACACCCGAAGCCGGUGGCCUAACCCCUUUGUGGGAGGGAGCCGUCGAAGGUGGGACUGGCGAUUG
This 923-nucleotide ribosomal RNA is filed under the name Kocuria rosea. RNAcentral describes it as "bacterial SSU rRNA". It matches the Rfam family "Bacterial small subunit ribosomal RNA", at positions 561 to 1477 of the family's 1533-position model. The record is from RNAcentral. Lineage: Bacteria; Bacillati; Actinomycetota; Actinomycetes; Micrococcales; Micrococcaceae.